GAACGCUGGCGGCGUGCUUAACACAUGCAAGUCGAACGAUGAACCACUUCGGUGGGGAUCAGUGGCGAACGGGUGAGUAACACGUGGGCAAUCUGCCCUGCACUCUGGGACAAGCCCUGGAAACGGGGUCUAAUACCGGAUACUGAUCCUCGCAGGCAUCUGCGAGGUUCGAAAGCUCCGGCGGUGCAGGAUGAGCCCGCGGCCUAUCAGCUAGUUGGUGAGGUAACGGCUCACCAAGGCGACGACGGGUAGCCGGCCUGAGAGGGCGACCGGCCACACUGGGACUGAGACACGGCCCAGACUCCUACGGGAGGCAGCAGUGGGGAAUAUUGCACAAUGGGCGAAAGCCUGAUGCAGCGACGCCGCGUGAGGGAUGACGGCCUUCGGGUUGUAAACCUCUUUCAGCAGGGAAGAAGCGAAAGUGACGGUACCUGCAGAAGAAGCGCCGGCUAACUACGUGCCAGCAGCCGCGGUAAUACGUAGGGC
This 486-nucleotide ribosomal RNA is filed under the name Streptomyces rochei. RNAcentral's name for it is "bacterial SSU rRNA". It matches the Rfam family "Bacterial small subunit ribosomal RNA", at positions 31 to 533 of the family's 1533-position model. The record is from RNAcentral. Lineage: Bacteria; Bacillati; Actinomycetota; Actinomycetes; Kitasatosporales; Streptomycetaceae.